UUUAGGCACCCAUGUAAACUUGUUCGGGCGGGUCGUUUGAGGGUGUGUGUGUCAACUCGUUCUGGCAGGUCAGGCGAGGGCAUCCAUGUGAACGCGUUCGAGUGGGUCAGGUGAGGGAGCGCCUGGUCGAACGAACCCGUAUGAAAAAAUGCUAAGUUGUGACCCGAGCUUGGCUUUGUGCAUGUUCGUGCAGCUCGUUUUCCCGACUCUCCCUUGUCGCUUCGUUUCGGUCGUUUGGGCGCCCAUCUAAACUCUUUCGGGUGGGUCGUUUGAGGGCGUGCGUGUCAACUCGUUAGGCGGGUCGGGCGAGGGUGUCCGUGUGAACGCAGUCGGGUGGGUCGGGCGAGGGUGCGCCCGGGCGAACGAGCCCAUAUCAAAAAAUUCUAAGUUGUGACCCGAGGUUGGCUUUGUGCACGUUCGUGAAGCUCGUUUACCCAGCUCUAUUUUGUCCCUUCGUUUCGGUGAAUCGUUUGGGGGCAUGCGUGUGAACUCGUUCGGGCGGGUCGGGUGAGGGCGCGCUUGGGCGAACGAGCCCAUAUCAAAAAAUGCUAAGUUAUGACUCGAGGUUGGCUUUGUGCACGUUUGUGCAGCUCGUUUUCCCGACUCUCCCUUGUCCCUUCGUUUCGGUGAGUCAGGCGAGGGUGUUCAUGUGAACUCGUUCGGGCGGGUCAAGUGAGGGCGCGGCCGUGUGAAUGAGCCCAUAUCAAAAAAUGCUAAGUUGUGACCAGAGGAAACUAUGGUGGAGGCUCAUAGCGAUACUGACAUGCAAAUCAUUUGUCUGACUUUGGUAUAUGGGCGAAAGACUAAUCGAACCAUCUAGUAGCUAGUUUCCUCCAAGGUUUCCCUCAGGAUAGCUGGAGCUCACACGCGAGUUUUAUUGGGUAAAGCAAAUGAUUAGAGGCAUCGGGGGUGUAACGCCCUCGACUUAUUAUCAAACUUUAAAUAGGUAAGAGGGUGUGGCUGCUCCAUUGAGCCGCACCGUGGAAUCGAGAGCUCCAAGUGGGCCAUUUUUGGUAAGCAGAACUGGCGAUGCGGCAUGAACCGAAAGUCGAGUUACAGUGCCAAAUUGCGCGUUAACCUAGAUCCCACAAAGGUUGUUGGUUGAUUAAGACAACAGGACUGUGGUCAUGGAAGUUGAAAUCCGCUAAGGAGUGUGUAACAACCCACCUGCUGAAUCAACUAGUGCCAAAAAUGGAUGGCGCUGAAGCACGCAACCUAUACUCGACCGUCGGAGCAAUUUCCUGGAUCCAAUGAGUACGAGGACGUGGGGGUCAUUGAGAAACCUUGGGCGUGAGCUUGGGUGGAUCGGCCCCCGGUGCAGAUCUUGGUGGUAGUAGAAAAUAUUCAAAUGAGAACUUUGAAGACUGAAGUGGGGAAAGGUUCCAUGUGAACAACACUUGGACAUGGGUUAGUCGAUCCUAAGAGAUGGGGAAGCCUUGUAUCAAGGGUGCACUCUGCAUGAGCAUCAAAAGGGAAUCGGGUUAAUAUUCCCGAACUGGGACAUGGCAGCGGGUGGAAACGUUAGGAAAUCCGGAGACAUUGUCGGGGGCCCUGGGAUGAGUUAUCUUUUCUUUUUAACAGCUUGCCCACCCUGGAAUUAGUUCACCCAAAGAUAAGGUCCAGCAGCUGGAAGAGAACCACAUGUCUUGUGGUGUCUGGUGUGCCCUCGGCGGCCCUUGAAAAUUUGGAGGACCGAGUACCGUUCAUGCCCGGUAAUACUCAUAACCGCAUAAGGUCUCCAAGGUGAAUAGCCUCUGGUCAAUAGAACAAUGUAGGUAAGGGAAGUCGGCAAAAUGGAUUCGUAACUUUAGGAAAAGGAUUGGCUCUGAGGGCUAGGCCUAGGGGUCUGUAACCUCAACUCGUGGGCUGUCAGCAGUCUGCCCGAGCUACUCUCAUGGUGAGGGCAGGCAGUAGCGUGCCGAUUGGGCUACAGGCGUAGAAUGCCCCCUGCCGGGGGCUUUCCCUAGGUGUCGAAUAGUUGACUCAGAACUAGUACGAACAAGGGGAAUCUGAAUUUUUAAUUAAAAAAAAGCAUUGCGAUGGUCCCUGCAGAUGCUAAUGCAAUGUGAUUUCUACCCAGUGCUCUGAAUGUCAAAGUGAAGAAAUUCAACCAAGCACGGGUAAACGAUGGGAGUAACUAUGACUCUCUUAAGGUAGCCAAAUGCCUCGUCAUCUAAUUAGUGACAUGCAUGAAUGGAUUAACAAGAUUCCCACUAUCCCUAUCUACUAUCUAGCGAAACCACAACCAAGGGAACGGGCUUGGUAGAAUCAGCGGGGAAAGAAGAUCCUGUUGAGCUUAACUCUAGUCCGACUUUGUGAAAUGACUUGAGAGGUGUAGAAUAAGUGGGAGCCAUUUUCGCUGCAAGUGAAAUGCCACUACUUUUAACGUUAUUUUACUUAUUUCAUGGGGCGGAGAUGGGGCAUUGCCCCUGUUUCUAGCCUUAAGGCAUGUUUCGGUGGGUCGAUUUGAGUGGAAGAUAUUUUUAGGUGGGGAGUUUAGCUGGGGCGGCACAUCUGUUAAAAGAUAACGCAGGUGUCAUAAGAUGAGCUCAACGAGAACAGAAAUCUCGUGUGGAACAAAAGGAUAAAAUCUCAUUUGAUUUUGAUUUUCAGUACAAAUACAAAUCGUGAAAGCGUGGCCUAUCGGUCCUUUAGAUUUUCGGAAUUUGAAGCUAGAGGUGUCAGAAAAGUUACCACAGGGAUAACUGGAUUGUGGAAGCCAAGCGUUCAUAGCGACGUUGCUUUUUUAUUCUUCGAUGUCAGCUCUUCCUAUCAUUGUGAAGCAGAAUUCACCAAGUGUUGGAUUUUUCACCCACCAAUAGGGAAUGUGAGCUGGGUUUAGACCAUCAUGAGAUAGGUUAGUUUUACCCUACUGAUGAGCCGCACCACAAUAGUAAUUCAACUUAGUACGAGAGGAACCGUUUAUUCACACAAUUGGUCAUCGCGCUUGGUUGAAAAGCUAGUGGCGCGAAGCUACCGUGUGUCGGAUUAUGACUGAACGCCUCUAAGUUAGAAUCCACGCUAGAAGUGGUGCAUGUCACUCUUCGACUGUAUCUCGACCUGUAGUAGGGGCAUCGCUUUGUCGCCCCCCGGGGCCCGUGUCAUUUGCAAACCACGACUGUGAAGCAUCUAGGUCAUGGUAGCUUUGAAGUUCAUUUU
This 3159-nucleotide ribosomal RNA is filed under the name Pinus taeda (loblolly pine). Its description in RNAcentral is "eukaryotic LSU rRNA". The stretch from base 529 to 3159 matches the Rfam family "Eukaryotic large subunit ribosomal RNA". Lineage: Eukaryota; Viridiplantae; Streptophyta; Pinopsida; Pinales; Pinaceae. The record is from RNAcentral.